Molecule: long non-coding RNA, 856 nt
Filed under: Equus caballus (horse)
Lineage: Eukaryota; Metazoa; Chordata; Mammalia; Perissodactyla; Equidae
Description: lncRNA (ENSECAG00000057312.1)
Source: RNAcentral
ACUUGGUAACUCAUUCUCCUCCGAAAAACAGAACUGAGGAGAGAAAUGAAAGAAGAGAGGAGAGAGCAAGAGAAACAGAAGAGUGGAUUUCCUUAGAAUUUCUUGGCACUCCCCCCACCAAACCAUUUUUUAAUCCCUGUUCUGCGGGCCCAGCUUCCCUUGCAAGCCUGAGCACACAUUGCUCCACUAUAAUAAUGACAAUGACAAGAAUAAUCCUGCCUCGGCAAGGUCUUUCUUUAUCCAGGGACCUCAUCAGCAUAGAAGACUGGUGUGAGAACCAAAUGCUGUGUUCCACAGAAAGCUGGGUCUCUUCUUCGACCAAAAGAAGUAAGCGAUCUGGAAAGAGGAAGCUUUGUGCUCCAAGAGGCAAUCUGUGUUUUAUUACAGGGAUGUCUCAGCCAGGAGCCUGGAAGGGAAGAGGGAAAAUUACUUUUCUUGCCCCAUAGCCCUUACCCAGCUGUAUGCAGAGUUGUGGGCAGGUGGCCUCGGGAGCCCGGGAGCAUUGGUCUCCACAGCAGUGUUUCCACUGGGGCCUCAAAAAUGAGGAGGACACACGUGCUUUUGCAUGAAAUCACAUGGGACAUGAUCUGCAUGGAUCCUGAAGGGGUGGCUCAGGCAACCUGCAGACCACCUCCUCUCAUUGCCAAAAUGUCAUGCUCUGUCCAGAAUGAAAAGCCAGGUCCCAGUGACUUGAACCCUGGAACAAAUGACAGACCUGAAAGUUCACUGUUCAACAGAUCAAACUGUUACUGAACCAAAGUGGAUCAGCUUCCUGAAUAUCUACUGCAGGCACUGGAGACACAAUGGUGAGCAAAAUCAGACACGGCACCUGCCCGCAUGGACUUUAUUUUAGAGA